This 753-nucleotide ribosomal RNA is filed under the name uncultured Ruminococcus sp. RNAcentral describes it as "bacterial SSU rRNA". It matches the Rfam family "Bacterial small subunit ribosomal RNA", at positions 28 to 776 of the family's 1533-position model. Lineage: Bacteria; Bacillati; Bacillota; Clostridia; Eubacteriales; Oscillospiraceae. The record is from RNAcentral.
AUUGAACGCUGGCGGCAUGCCUCACACAUGCAAGUCGAACGGCAGCACGGGAGCAAUCCUGGUGGCGAGUGGCGAACGGGUGAGUAAUACAUCGGAACGUGCCCAAUCGUGGGGGAUAACGCAGCGAAAGCUGUGCUAAUACCGCAUACGAUCCACGGAUGAAAGCAGGGGAUCGCAAGACCUUGCGCGAAUGGAGCGGCCGAUGGCAGAUUAGGUAGUUGGUGAGGUAAAGGCUCACCAAGCCGUCGAUCUGUAGCUGGUCUGAGAGGACGACCAGCCACACUGGGACUGAGACACGGCCCAGACUCCUACGGGAGGCAGCAGUGGGGAAUUUUGGACAAUGGGCGAAAGCCUGAUCCAGCCAUGCCGCGUGCAGGAUGAAGGCCUUCGGGUUGUAAACUGCUUUUGUACGGAACGAAACGGCCUUUUCUAAUAAAGAGGGCUAAUGACGGUACCGUAAGAAUAAGCACCGGCUAACUACGUGCCAGCAGCCGCGGUAAUACGUAGGGUGCAAGCGUUAAUCGGAAUUACUGGGCGUAAAGCGUGCGCAGGCGGUUAUGUAAGACAGUUGUGAAAUCCCCGGGCUCAACCUGGGAACUGCAUCUGUGACUGCAUAGCUAGAGUACGGUAGAGGGGGAUGGAAUUCCGCGUGUAGCAGUGAAAUGCGUAGAUAUGCGGAGGAACACCGAUGGCGAAGGCGGCCUUCUGGGCCAUAACUGACGCUGAGGAGCGAAAGCUAGGGGAGCAAACAGG